ACAACAUCUACAGCACACAAUGAUCGCAUAAUCAUCUUGAGAACCUCUGCUGAUAAAAGAGGAAUUGGAGUUAAAUCUUUAAUAGGUGGAAUUUAGGCAAACCGCACUGGAAAAUAAACAGAUGAGUCAGAGCAACAAAAAUUUCUGCCAAAAAUAAACACGGGUUUAAAAAAAAACGAAAGAAAUAGACAUCUGUUCCUUCCUGGAAUGCAAAGGACCAAAACAACGACAAAAGCAGGUCAAACUCUGGCUUCUCUCUUUCUCUCGCGCCUCCGCUGCUGCGCGGUAAUUAAGUGCGCGGGAACAGGACGGAGCUCCAGGGAGCUCAUUAGGCUUUUCAAUUAGUGAAAAAUACACAAGGUAGAGUCCUCGGCUUUUUAGGGACUCUAGAAACGGGCAGAGAUGCCAAGAACAGUCCCUUUCACUUUCCCCUCAUCUGAAACAGGGCGGGGGUGACACCCCUGACAGACCUGGUGCUCCUGAGGGGUAUCCUCAUCACACUUCAGUCUUAAAAUCCAAGGAAGAUGCUCAGAAAAUCUGCAUCUCAACAAACGCGAGGCCUCAGAAUGCGGCUGGCGCGAGACAGCAGGAGACCUUCCCCUUUAACUGUGUGUAUUGAACAAAGAACCCUCUCUCAUAAGAGACAUCUGUCUGCUCCUCACAAGAAGGCAGAGAGACAUGCGGGUUUGAGACAGCAUGAGGGGGAGCAACCCAGUCAGAGGACUUGGAGAAACAUAAAGCAUUGAGUUUUGUUAUUAAAAUUAAAGAGGACAUCUGCUGUGGAAGAGACACUAGAAAGCAUUGUAAAUCUGCUGGACCAUUCUGCUUUCUCAGAUUUGGUCGUCUUCAGGAACACGUUCAAGCCAUAUUUGUGAGUCUGGCGUGAGUCCGGCCCUCGAUCUGCUCAUUCUAGAUUCAGAGUCUGUUCUGUUCUCCUGGAGCACGAGCUCCAGUCCGUCUCUGGAGAGUCCCGUCGAUGCAUGCUCUGAGUUCUGAGAUGAAC
Long non-coding RNA from Carassius carassius (crucian carp), 1003 nucleotides. RefSeq lists it as uncharacterized. The record is from RefSeq and is a predicted model, not a curated record. Lineage: Eukaryota; Metazoa; Chordata; Actinopteri; Cypriniformes; Cyprinidae. The transcript is spliced from 3 exons.